UUUUAGCAGUGAGGGAUAUUGGUCAAUAGCCUAACGGCUGAACCAGCAACUUUGGAGGAAUGUAUAGCAAUAGCUACUUGCAUCGUUAUUCUCGUAAAAACGAUGCAAGAUCGACUAUGUCGAAUAAAAUUCUAGGUAGAAUUAUGAUAAUGACAUUGUCUGCCUAUGUGUCUUGACCAAAUUACGUGCCAGCAGUCGCGGUAAUACGUAGAAGACUAGUGUUAUUCAUGUUUAAUCGGUUUAAAGGGUACCUAGACGGCAAAUCAAGCUUUAGAGGAAUAAGAUAUAAUGUCUAGAAAAAGGAACUAAUUUGCUAGAGUUACUUAUGAGGGGGCUUUAAAGUACUGCUGGUGUAGAGAUGAAAUUCUGUGAUACCUCUCUUCAAAAGAAGAACUACGGCACAGGUAUAGGCGAAGGCAUCCCCUUAUGGGCUAACUGACGUUGAGGGACGAAGGCUUAGGUAGCGAACAGGAUUAGAUACCCUAGUAGUCUAGGCAGUAAAUGAUGAAUGUCAUAGAUUAGAUAUAAGCUUAUUCUAUAAAUGAAAGUGUAAGCAUUCCACCUCCUGAGUAAUAUGGCAACGUUGGAAUUGAAAUCAUUAGACCGUUUCUGAAACCAGUAGUGAAGUAUGUUGUUUAAUUUGAUACCCCGCAAAAAACCUUACCACAAUUUGAAUAUUUAUAUUUUUUUUAUUGCUUUUUUAUUAAUUAAUAAGAAAAAAAAAUAUAAGGCAAUAAGAUAUAUUUACAAGCGUUGCACGGCUGUCUUCAGUUAAUGUCGCGAGACUUUGGUU
RNAcentral lists this ribosomal RNA (793 nucleotides) under Melanelixia glabratuloides. RNAcentral's name for it is "partial small subunit ribosomal RNA". It matches the Rfam family "Bacterial small subunit ribosomal RNA", at positions 346 to 1080 of the family's 1533-position model. The record is from RNAcentral. Lineage: Eukaryota; Fungi; Ascomycota; Lecanoromycetes; Lecanorales; Parmeliaceae.